GCGCCGGUAGCUCAGUUGGUAGAGCAGGGGCCUUUUAAGCCCAAGGUCGUGGGUUCGAAUCCCGCCCGGCGCACCA
RNAcentral lists this transfer RNA (76 nucleotides) under Candidatus Uhrbacteria bacterium CG10_big_fil_rev_8_21_14_0_10_50_16. RNAcentral describes it as "tRNA-Lys". It matches the Rfam family "tRNA". Rfam says of the family: Transfer RNA (tRNA) molecules are approximately 80 nucleotides in length. The record is from RNAcentral. Lineage: Bacteria; Candidatus Uhriibacteriota. RNAcentral also lists the same sequence under 1 other name.